Molecule: ribosomal RNA, 468 nt
Filed under: uncultured bacterium
Lineage: Bacteria
Description: partial 16S ribosomal RNA
Rfam family: Bacterial small subunit ribosomal RNA
Source: RNAcentral
GACGAACGCUGGCGGCGUGCUUAACACAUGCAAGUCGAACGGAAAGGCCCUGCUUUUGUGGGGUGCUCGAGUGGCGAACGGGUGAGUAACACGUGAGUAACCUGCCCUUGACUUUGGGAUAACUUCAGGAAACUGGGGCUAAUACCGGAUAGGAGCUCCUGCUGCAUGGUGGGGGUUGGAAAGUUUCGGCGGUUGGGGAUGGACUCGCGGCUUAUCAGCUUGUUGGUGGGGUAGUGGCUUACCAAGGCUUUGACGGGUAGCCGGCCUGAGAGGGUGACCGGCCACAUUGGGACUGAGAGACGGCCCAGACGCCUACGGGAGGCAGCAGGGGGGAAUAUUGCACAAUGGGCGGAAGCCUGAGGCAGCAACGCCGCGUGCGGGAUGACGGCCUUCGGGUUGUAAACCGCUUUCGCCUGUGACGAAGCGUGAGUGACGGUAAUGGGUAAAGAAGCACCGGCUAACUACGUG